RNAcentral lists this transfer RNA (67 nucleotides) under Neomonachus schauinslandi (Hawaiian monk seal). Its description in RNAcentral is "transfer RNA-Val". It matches the Rfam family "tRNA". From Rfam's summary of the family: Transfer RNA (tRNA) molecules are approximately 80 nucleotides in length. Lineage: Eukaryota; Metazoa; Chordata; Mammalia; Carnivora; Phocidae. The record is from RNAcentral.
CAAAGUGUAGCUUAAACAAAGCGUCUGGCCUACACCCAGAAGAUUUCACAUUAAAUGACCACUUUGA